This 492-nucleotide ribosomal RNA is filed under the name uncultured bacterium. Its description in RNAcentral is "partial 16S ribosomal RNA". It matches the Rfam family "Bacterial small subunit ribosomal RNA", at positions 29 to 507 of the family's 1533-position model. The record is from RNAcentral.
AGUGAACGCUGGCGGUAUGCCUAACACAUGCAAGUCGAACGGCAGCACAGUAAGAGCUUGCUCUUACGGUUGGCGAGUGGCGGACGGGUGAGGAAUACAUCGGAAUCUACUUUUUCGUGGGGGAUAACGUAGGGAAACUUACGCUAAUACCGCAUACGACCUACGGGUGAAAUCAGGGGAUCUUCGGACCUUGCGCGAUUGAAUGAGCUGAUGUCGGAUUAGCUAGUUGGCGGGGUAAAGGCCCACCGAGGCGACGAUCCGUAGCUGGUCUGAGAGGAUGAUCAGCCACACUGGAACUGAGACACGGUCCAGACUCCUACGGGAGGCAGCAGUGGGGAAUAUUGGACAAUGGGCGAAAGCCUGAUCCAGCCAUACCGCGUGGGUGAAGAAGGCCUUCGGGUUGUAAAGCCCUUUUGUUGGGAAAGAAAAGCAGCAGGUUAAUCCACCGCUGUUCUGACGGUACCCAAAGAAUAAGCACCGGCUAACUUCGUG